AACGAACGCUGGCGGCAGGCUUAACACAUGCAAGUCGAACGAUCUCUUCGGAGAUAGUGGCAGACGGGUGAGUAACGCGUGGGAACCUACCUUAUUCUACGGAAUAACACAGAGAAAUUUGUGCUAAUACCGUAUACGCCCUUUGGGGGAAAGAUUUAUCGGAGUAAGAUGGGCCCGCGUUGGAUUAGCUAGUUGGUGGGGUAAUGGCCUACCAAGGCGACGAUCUAUAGCUGGUCUGAGAGGAUGAUCAGCCACACUGGGACUGAGACACGGCCCAGACUCCUACGGGAGGCAGCAGUGGGGAAUCUUAGACAAUGGGGGCAACCCUGAUCUAGCCAUGCCGCGUGAGUGACGAAGGCCCUAGGGUCGUAAAGCUCUUUCGCCAGGGAUGAUAAUGACAGUACCUGGUAAAGAACCCCCGG
This 422-nucleotide ribosomal RNA is filed under the name uncultured bacterium. RNAcentral describes it as "bacterial SSU rRNA". It matches the Rfam family "Bacterial small subunit ribosomal RNA", at positions 29 to 496 of the family's 1533-position model. The record is from RNAcentral.